Long non-coding RNA from Sander lucioperca (pikeperch), 2184 nucleotides. RefSeq lists it as uncharacterized. NCBI's taxonomy places the organism in Eukaryota, Metazoa, Chordata, Actinopteri, Perciformes, Percidae. The record is from RefSeq and is a predicted model, not a curated record. The transcript is spliced from 3 exons.
ACAAACUGGACUCAAAACACAAAGAGAGAGAAAACAGUCCCAUCUAGGACUGGAGGAGGGCAUUAAUUAACUAAUACAUUACGGCUUUGAGUUCUGCACUCUCAUCUCUCUGCCUCAGACAGUCUGGCCAUUACCUUGACCAAGUCCCUUACGUUGGUGGCCAGCGGGAUGUCUGCCGCUGCUGGGGCCCUCUCCAGCCCGAUGUUGGAGCAGUUGACGACGCAGGAUGGCUGGGGCCCCGCCAGCGCGCAGCUGCAGUUAAUGGGACAGGGGCUGCAACUCCUGCCGCCGUCCCCCUGCGGCCCGGAGCCCCAUGCCUCCAGGCAGCAGAGCGCCACAAGCAGACUGGAAAAGAAGCUAAACCUCGGGAAGUAGACGCCAUGUUUUCGCUUGGAUAAAGUCUGUCCAUUUCCACAAGGCAUAGCUCACUCACAUCUCAUCGCCUCUGAUGUGUAAGUCCUCUCAGUCUGUAUUUCCUGAAGCGGUGCAGGGCAUGUAUUGGAGGUGUUUCCUGGGUAUUUGACUUGGCCGGGGCCCAGCCAUCCUCCCUGCAGGCAGCUGCGGCUCUGCACAAAGAAAAGAAGAGUCCCAUAAUAACUCUUGUGCUCUCUUAUCCUCAUUGGCAGCAUUUCAUUGUAGAGUUCAUACUUGCGAAGCAAAAUAUGUGUGAAUGGAAGAGUGGAUGGACCAAAUGUGAAAAAUUUGAAAAGUAAAUAGAAAAAGAUAGUGAUAGACAUCACAGAGAAAAUGAUACUGACUAUUCAUAGUGGCUUAAACAUUCGUGUCCCUUAAUCAGUAUAAAAAAAUGAUAAACCAUGACACCCUAAAAUAUUUUGUAAGAAAAUUAAGGUGGCAGGUGUUUGAGAAUACAGCUUUACAUACUUGCUUAUCAGAGAAUCUUACCUCGAGCCAUGGCGGAAGUGCAACAUCUCUGAAAGAUACAGAGACAGUUUACACAGGGAGAUUUUUUGGGCUUUUACAGUUAACAGGGACAAGGAGGGAGGGAAGUGACACAAAGGUCGAGACAAUCCAUGUCAAGUUUAAUUGCUUGACCCAUAAUUACAGUUAGAGUUUCAAAGGGCUUCACAAGCCCACAUUAUUAUAAGACACAAAAUGACUCAAACAUAUUUCAAGCACAGAGAAAAGGGUACUAGACCGUUGACCACUGAGUCACCAGAGUGCUCCCUAAAAAAGGACACAUUGAUUUUUCUAUUACUUUCAGGUCGGUAAAAUUUUGUUAAAUUGAAUCCAAUAAUCUGCCAAUCAAGUUAAUUUGACAAAAUUCUGCUCUUUAAAAUGACGGAUUCUGAACAAAAUAAAACAAACAACAUACAGCCAUGUUAGGCUAAUGUUAGCAUGCAAACAUGCUAACAAUGAUAACAUACUGAUGUUUAGCAGGUAUAAUAGCGCUUAGCACAUACUGUUAAUCAUGUAUAAUGCAGGUAUAUGUUCGCUAUCUCAGUGUGCUAGCAUGAUUUGCUAAUUAACACUAAACACAAAGUACAGUGAAAGUAAAGUUUUACUGAAAUGAGUAUUUGUCUGGUAUUUCGUCAUAAACCAAAGUAUUGGACACAUAAAAAUGAUGACUAGAUGAUGGUGCUACUGUAUAUGAAAAGGGAAUGGACCAAAGUUAUUAAAGUUCAUCCUGAGAGGGGCAUACAUAUUCCAAAUUUCAUGGCAAUUCAUCUAUCAAUACAUUUCACUCCAAAACACAAAUGUGAACCUCAUUGUGAAGGUCAGGGGAUCAACAAAGUUAUCAGGAUUCAUCCUCUGGGGAACAUGAUGUCUGUACAAAAUUUCAUGGCAAUCCAUCCAAUUGUUGUUGAGAUAUUUUAGUGUAGAUCAAAGAGGUAGACUGACUGACCGACUGACAUUGCCAUCUCUAUAACCACACUGCAGCGUGGCAAAUAACAACACAAUGAGUUAUUGACGUUGUCAUUUAACAUGUGUAUAUUUUUGCUAUAUUAUGAUAUAUAACUAUACCAGAAACACAUUCUUUAUAGUAUCAGGAUAUGGAUUUUUGUCACUAAGCCUGUAUAUGUGUUAGUUCAUCCUGAUCUAACCCCAUAUAAAUAGAACAGUGUGGACUGAUCAUAUUUGGCCAUUACAGACUAGUUGAGCUGCCCUGCUGAACCACUUCAUCCACAUGUAUGAAAUGUAGUAUUUGGUAUCUGUCUGGCCUGG